GCCAUAAGCUCAGUGGAUUUAGAGCACUGGUCUUGUAAACUUUCAGGGGUCGUAGGUUCAAAUCCUCACUGGUGGCG
Molecule: non-coding RNA, 77 nt
Organism: Araneus ventricosus
Lineage: Eukaryota; Metazoa; Arthropoda; Arachnida; Araneae; Araneidae
Source: the annotation of a GenBank genome assembly